AUUGAACGCUGGCGGAAUGCUUUACACAUGCAAGUCGAACGGCAGCACGGACUUCGGUCUGGUGGCGAGUGGCGAACGGGUGAGUAAUGUAUCGGAACGUGCCCAGUCGUGGGGGAUAACGUAGGGAAAAUUACGCUAAUACCGCAUACGAUCUAUGGAUGAAAGCGGGGGAUCGCAAGACCUCGCGCGAUUGGAGCGGCCGAUAUCAGAUUAGGUAGUUGGUGGGGUAAAGGCCCACCAAGCCAACGAGCUGUGGCUGGGCUGAGAGGACGACCAGCCAAACUGGAACUGAGACACGGUCCAGACGACUACGGGAGGCAGCAGUGGGGAAUUUUGGACAAAGGGCGAAAGCCUGAUCCAGCCAUUCCGGGUGCAGGAUGAAGGCCCUCGGGUUGUAAACUGCUUCUGUACAGAACGAAAAGGUUUCUACUAAUACUAGGAGCUCAUGACGGUACUGUAAGAAUAAGCACCGGCUAACUACGUGCCAGCCGCCGCAGUAA
Molecule: ribosomal RNA, 500 nt
Filed under: uncultured bacterium
Lineage: Bacteria
Description: partial 16S ribosomal RNA
Rfam family: Bacterial small subunit ribosomal RNA
Source: RNAcentral